This 266-nucleotide ribosomal RNA is filed under the name uncultured bacterium. RNAcentral describes it as "partial 16S ribosomal RNA". It matches the Rfam family "Bacterial small subunit ribosomal RNA", at positions 88 to 354 of the family's 1533-position model. The record is from RNAcentral.
CCGGCGACCGGCGCACGGGUGAGUAACACGUAUGGAACCUGCCCGCAGCAGGGGGAUAAGCGGAAGAAAUUCCGUCUAAUACCGCGUAACAACGUUGGGAGGCAUCUCCCGAUGUUUAAAAAUUUAUCGGCUGCGGAUGGCCAUGCGGCGCAUUAGCUAGUCGGCGGGGUAACGGCCCACCGAGGCGACGAUGCGUAGGGGUUCUGAGAGGAAGGUCCCCCACACUGGUACUGAGACACGGACCAGACUCCUACGGGAGGCAGCAG